Molecule: transfer RNA, 88 nt
Filed under: Acidobacteriota bacterium
Lineage: Bacteria; Pseudomonadati; Acidobacteriota
Also listed under: 3 other names
Description: tRNA-Tyr
Rfam family: tRNA
About the family: Transfer RNA (tRNA) molecules are approximately 80 nucleotides in length. Their secondary structure includes four short double-helical elements and three loops (D, anti-codon, and T loops). Further hydrogen bonds mediate the characteristic L-shaped molecular structure. tRNAs have two regions of fundamental functional importance: the anti-codon, which is responsible for specific mRNA codon recognition, and the 3' end, to which the tRNAs corresponding amino acid is attached (by aminoacyl-tRNA synthetases). tRNAs cope with the degeneracy of the genetic code in two manners: having more than one tRNA (with a specific anti-codon) for a particular amino acid; and 'wobble' base-pairing, i.e. permitting non-standard base-pairing at the 3rd anti-codon position.
Source: RNAcentral
GCACAGGUGGCCGAGUGGUUAAUGGCAGCAGACUGUAAAUCUGCCGCUCUCAGGAGCUACGGAGGUUCGAAUCCUCCCCUGUGCACCA